RNAcentral lists this microRNA (23 nucleotides) under Corchorus olitorius. Its description in RNAcentral is "aau-miR1". Lineage: Eukaryota; Viridiplantae; Streptophyta; Magnoliopsida; Malvales; Malvaceae. RNAcentral also lists the same sequence under 1 other name. The record is from RNAcentral.
UGUGAAUCUUGAUGAUGCUACAU